CCUACGGGAGGCAGCAGUGAGGAAUAUUGGUCAAUGGACGCAAGUCUGAACCAGCCAUGCCGCGUGCAGGAAGACGGCUCUAUGAGUUGUAAACUGCUUUUGUACGAGGGUAAACGCAGAUACGCGUAUCUGUCUGAAAGUAUCGUACGAAUAAGGAUCGGCUAACUCCGUGCCAGCAGCCGCGGUAAUACGGAGGAUUCAAGCGUUAUCCGGAUUUAUUGGGUUUAAAGGGUGCGUAGGCGGUCGGAUAAGUUAGAGGUGAAAUCCCGAGGCUCAACUUUGGAAUUGCCUCUGAUACUGUUCGGCUAGAGAGUAGUUGCGGUAGGCGGAAUGUAUGGUGUAGCGGUGAAAUGCUUAGAGAUCAUACAGAACACCGAUUGCGAAGGCAGCCUACCAAGCUACUUCUGACGUUGAGGCACGAAAGCGUGGGGAGCAAACAGGAUUAGAUACCCUAGUAGUC
Molecule: ribosomal RNA, 460 nt
Filed under: uncultured bacterium
Lineage: Bacteria
Description: partial 16S ribosomal RNA
Rfam family: Bacterial small subunit ribosomal RNA
Source: RNAcentral